RNAcentral lists this ribosomal RNA (352 nucleotides) under uncultured bacterium. Its description in RNAcentral is "bacterial SSU rRNA". It matches the Rfam family "Bacterial small subunit ribosomal RNA", at positions 8 to 354 of the family's 1533-position model. The record is from RNAcentral.
AGAGUUUGAUCAUGGCUCAGAUUGAACGCUGGCGGCAGGCCUAACACAUGCAAGUCGAGCGGCAGCGGGAAAGUAGCUUGCUACUUUUGCCGGCGAGCGGCGGACGGGUGAGUAAUGCCUGGGAAAUUGCCCAGUCGAGGGGGAUAACAGUUGGAAACGACUGCUAAUACCGCAUACGCCCUACGGGGGAAAGCAGGGGACCUUCGGGCCUUGCGCGAUUGGAUAUGCCCAGGUGGGAUUAGCUUGUUGGUGAGGUAAUGGCUCACCAAGGCGACGAUCCCUAGCUGGUCUGAGAGGAUGAUCAGCCACACUGGAACUGAGACACGGUCCAGACUCCUACGGGACGCAGCAG